GCUGGGCACACUGGCACUGCCUGUAGUUCCAGCUACUGGGAGGCUGAGGCAGGAGGAUCACUUGGGCCCAGGAGUUUGAGACCAAUUUGGGCAAGAUAGAGAGAUCCUGCCUCCA
Molecule: small RNA, 115 nt
Filed under: Marmota monax (woodchuck)
Lineage: Eukaryota; Metazoa; Chordata; Mammalia; Rodentia; Sciuridae
Source: RNAcentral